This 29-nucleotide non-coding RNA is filed under the name Mus musculus (house mouse). Lineage: Eukaryota; Metazoa; Chordata; Mammalia; Rodentia; Muridae. The record is from RNAcentral.
UNGCAUACGUGUUUGCCUGACAUUGCAGU